CCCCUCUCAAGGUCACACCUGAAGAGUUUCCAGUAGUUUACCAGUCUUGACUACAGGAGGGACAGUCAAGCAGAGGCCUACCCAUUCCAUUCCUAGCUUGGGCAGUGGCUAGAGAGUGGAAGGCGAUCUGCUACAAGU
Molecule: small nucleolar RNA, 138 nt
Filed under: Ornithorhynchus anatinus (platypus)
Lineage: Eukaryota; Metazoa; Chordata; Mammalia; Monotremata; Ornithorhynchidae
Source: RNAcentral